This 464-nucleotide ribosomal RNA is filed under the name uncultured bacterium. Its description in RNAcentral is "partial 16S ribosomal RNA". It matches the Rfam family "Bacterial small subunit ribosomal RNA", at positions 339 to 795 of the family's 1533-position model. The record is from RNAcentral.
CUACGGGAUGCUGCAGUGGGGAAUAUUGCACAAUGGGCGCAAGCCUGAUGCAGCCAUGCCGCGUGUAUGAAGAAGGCCUUCGGGUUGUAAAGUACUUUCAGCGGGGAGGAAGGGAGUAAAGUUAAUACCUUUGCUCAUUGACGUUACCCGCAGAAGAAGCACCGGCUAACUCCGUGCCAGCAGCCGCGGUAAUACGGAGGGUGCAAGCGUUAAUCGGAAUUACUGGGCGUAAAGCGCACGCAGGCGGGUUGUUAAGUCAGAUGUGAAAUCCCCGGGCUCAACCUGGGAACUGCAUCUGAUACUGGCAAGCUUGAGUCUCGUAGAGGGGGGUAGAAUUCCAGGUGUAGCGGUGAGAUGCGUAGAGAUCUGGAGGAAUACCGGUGGCGAAGGCGGCCCCCUGGACGAAGACUGACGCUCAGGUGCGAAAGCGUGGGGAGCAAACAGGAUUAGAUACCCGCGUAGUC